RNAcentral lists this ribosomal RNA (465 nucleotides) under Vreelandella stevensii. RNAcentral describes it as "partial 16S ribosomal RNA". It matches the Rfam family "Bacterial small subunit ribosomal RNA", at positions 338 to 795 of the family's 1533-position model. The record is from RNAcentral. Lineage: Bacteria; Pseudomonadati; Pseudomonadota; Gammaproteobacteria; Oceanospirillales; Halomonadaceae.
CCUACGGGAGGCUGCAGUGGGGAAUAUUGGACAAUGGGGGGAACCCUGAUCCAGCCAUGCCGCGUGUGUGAAGAAGGCCCUCGGGUUGUAAAGCACUUUCAGUGAGGAAGAACGCCUGGUGGUUAAUACCCAUCAGGAAAGACAUCACUCACAGAAGAAGCACCGGCUAACUCCGUGCCAGCAGCCGCGGUAAUACGGAGGGUGCGAGCGUUAAUCGGAAUUACUGGGCGUAAAGCGCGCGUAGGUGGCUUGAUAAGCCGGUUGUGAAAGCCCCGGGCUCAACCUGGGAACGGCAUCCGGAACUGUCAAGCUAGAGUGCAGGAGAGGAAGGUAGAAUUCCCGGUGUAGCGGUGAAAUGCGUAGAGAUCGGGAGGAAUACCAGUGGCGAAGGCGGCCUUCUGGACUGACACUGCCACUGAGGUGCGAAAGCGUGGGUAGCAAACAGGAUUAGAUACCCGGGUAGUC